RNAcentral lists this ribosomal RNA (258 nucleotides) under uncultured bacterium. RNAcentral's name for it is "partial 16S ribosomal RNA". It matches the Rfam family "Bacterial small subunit ribosomal RNA", at positions 793 to 1055 of the family's 1533-position model. The record is from RNAcentral.
GUCCACGCCGUAAACGAUGUUCACUCGCUGUUUGCGAUAUAUUGCAAGCGGCCAAGCGAAAGCAUUAAGUUAACCACCUGGGGAGUACGAUCGCAAGGUUGAAACUCAAAGGAAUUGACGGGGGCCCGCACAAGCGGAGGAACAUGUGGUUUAAUUCGAUGAUACGCGAGGAACCUUACCCGGGCUUAAAUGUAGGAUGCAUGUAGUGGAAACACUCUUCCCUUCGGGGCUGCCUACAAGGUGCUGCAUGGUUGUCGU